UUCGCCCUUAGAGUUUGAUCCUGGCUCAGGACGAACGCUGGCGGCGCGCCUAACACAUGCAAGUCGAACGAGCGAGAGAAAGCUUGCUUUCUCGAGCGAGUGGCGAACGGGUGAGUAACGCGUGAGGAACCUGCCUCAAAGAGGGGGACAACAGUUGGAAACGACUGCUAAUACCGCAUAAGCCCACGGGUCGGCAUCGACCAGAGGGAAAAGGAGCAAUCCGCUUUGAGAUGGCCUCGCGUCCGAUUAGCUAGUUGGUGAGGUAACGGCCCACCAAGGCAACGAUCGGUAGCCGGACUGAGAGGUUGAACGGCCACAUUGGGACUGAGACACGGCCCAGACUCCUACGGGAGGCAGCAGUGGGGAAUAUUGCACAAUGGGGGAAACCCUGAUGCAGCGACGCCGCGUGGAGGAAGAAGGUCUUCGGAUUGUAAACUCCUGUUGUUGAGGAAGAUAAUGACGGUACUCAACAAGGAAGUGACGGCUAACUACGUGCCAGCAGCCGCGGUAAAACGUAGGUCACAAGCGUUGUCCGGAAUUACUGGGUGUAAAGGGAGCGCAGGCGGGAAGACAAGUUGGAAGUGAAAUCUAUGGGCUCAACCCAUAAACUGCUUUCAAAACUGUUUUUCUUGAGUAGUGCAGAGGUAGGCGGAAUUCCCGGUGUAGCGGUGGAAUGCGUAGAUAUCGGGAGGAACACCAGUGGCGAAGGCGGCCUACUGGGCACCAACUGACGCUGAGGCUCGAAAGUGUGGGUAGCAAACAGGAUUAGAUACCCUGGUAGUCCACACUGUAAACGAUGAUUACUAGGUGUUGGAGGAUUGACCCCUUCAGUGCCGCAGUUAACACAAUAAGUAAUCCCCCUGGGGAGUACGACCGCAAGGUUGAAACUCAAAGGAAUUGACGGGGGCCCGCACAAGCAGUGGAGUAUGUGGUUUAAUUCGACGCAACGCGAAGAACCUUACCAAGUCUUGACAUCCUACGACGCACAUAGAAAUAUGUGUUUCCUUCGGGACGCAGAGACAGGUGGUGCAUGGUUGUCGUCAGCUCGUGUCGUGAGAUGUUGGGUUAAGUCCCGCAACGAGCGCAACCCUUACUGUCAGUUACUACGCAAGAGGACUCUGGCAGGACUGCCGUUGACAAAACGGAGGAAGGUGGGGAUGACGUCAAAUCAUCAUGCCCUUUAUGACUUGGGCUACACACGUACUACAAUGGCGUUAAACAAAGAGAAGCAAGACCGCGAGGUGGAGCAAAACUCAGAAACAACGUCCCAGUUCGGACUGCAGGCUGCAACUCGCCUGCACGAAGUCGGAAUUGCUAGUAAUCGUGGAUCAGCAUGCCACGGUGAAUACGUUCCCGGGCCUUGUACACACCGCCCGUCA
Molecule: ribosomal RNA, 1379 nt
Filed under: uncultured bacterium
Lineage: Bacteria
Description: 16S ribosomal RNA
Rfam family: Bacterial small subunit ribosomal RNA
Source: RNAcentral